UUGGGGUUAUAUGGUCAGCGAAUAAGCGCACACGGUGGAUGCCUAGGCGGUCAGAGGCGAUGAAGGACGUGGUAGCCUGCGAAAAGUGUCGGGGAGCUGGCAACAAGCUUUGAUCCGGCCCCAUCCGAAUGGGGAAACCCACUGCUUCGGCAGUAUCCUGCAGUGAAUUCAUAGCUGCUGGAAGCGAACCCCGU
RNAcentral lists this ribosomal RNA (194 nucleotides) under Xanthomonas hortorum pv. vitians. Its description in RNAcentral is "Xanthomonas campestris pv. vitians partial 23S ribosomal RNA". It matches the Rfam family "Bacterial large subunit ribosomal RNA", at positions 1 to 189 of the family's 2925-position model. Lineage: Bacteria; Pseudomonadati; Pseudomonadota; Gammaproteobacteria; Lysobacterales; Lysobacteraceae. The record is from RNAcentral.